ACGGCAUGUCCUUUGCUGAGUCUCUUGGAAGGCUAACCCAUAGGAAAAUCACUGGCCUUCAGCUCCUUGUGGAUUGGAUCGUGAUGGGACCAGGUAAUGGGUGGGGUGGAGAAUCCUGAGAAUUUGGUUCAGAGGAAACCAGGUGCUGGUUCAGAGAAGCAGAGUGUGCCAGUGGCAAGGUUCUUAGACUUUUGGGAUAUUAUUAGACUGAUGCACAAGUAAUUGCGGUUUUCAACAUUACUUUUAAAUGGCAAAAACCACAAUUACUUCUGCAGCAACCUAAUAAUAAACAUUGAGAUGGAAGUCAGCAGUUUGUGUAACUUCGAUGAAUAAAUAAAGCAUUCAAAAGGGGAAAAAAAAACACUCCACCAUGUAUGAGGUCCCUCAUAUCAUAAAAUAAAAGGUACUUGAGUAGCACUCCAAAAGAAAAAAUAAUCUCAGAAUAAAGCACACUACUUUACAAUGAAUGCAUUUUACUAGAAACUACACAGCUGCUAUUUUUCUCAUUUACCUUUUGGAAAAUAAUUUUAGAGAUUGUUAGGACAGAAAGCAAAGUGUCAGAACACCUGGUUCCUGGCAAGCUCAGCUACACUCACUAGGUUAACACGAAUCAUCCUUUAGGACACAGCCUAAAAGCUACUCUGACCCCCGAUGUCUGAGUCAGG
RNAcentral lists this long non-coding RNA (665 nucleotides) under Homo sapiens (human). RNAcentral's name for it is "HSALNT0154540". The record is from RNAcentral. Lineage: Eukaryota; Metazoa; Chordata; Mammalia; Primates; Hominidae.